RNAcentral lists this unclassified non-coding RNA (2372 nucleotides) under Hevea brasiliensis (rubber tree). The record is from RNAcentral. Lineage: Eukaryota; Viridiplantae; Streptophyta; Magnoliopsida; Malpighiales; Euphorbiaceae.
UUUUUGCCCUACUCUGUUGGGGUUCUUUAAAAAUCUGUAUUUUUGAGGGUUCUUGAAAAAAAAUUGGAUUUUUUCAUCUGGAAUGCGAAUCUUGGUUAAGGAUAUAAUCUGGGUUGUGUUUUUCUUGGUUCAAAAUCUGAUCUUUUUUGCUUUACAGUUUGGGAUUGAAGAACAAUCAUGCCUACUCUUGUUAAUUACAGUGGUGAUGAUGAGUUCUACUCUGGUGGAUCGUUUUGUUCUGCAGAUUUGGGUCUCAUGUUGUCUUUGGGUCAUGCUGAUGUUUACUGUCCUCCUAGGAAGAGGGCUAGAAUUAGUGGCCCGUUUGUUGUCGAAGACCGAUCAAAGGAUCCAUCUCUUGAGGUUCUUCCUGAUGAAUGCCUAUUUGAGAUCCUCAGACGAUUGCCUGGAGGCCGAGAAAGGGGUGCAGCAGCUUGUGUUUCUAAGCGCUGGCUUACAGUGUUGAGUAGCGUGAAAAACUCUGAAAUUUGCAGGAGCAAGAGCUAUAACAAUCUAAAUGACGCUAUAAUGAUCUCUAAAGAUGAAGAUCUUGAAGUUGAAUGUGAUGGAUACCUUACCAGGUGUGUGGAAGGGAAGAAAGCUACUGAUAUUAGACUUGCUGCAAUUGCAGUUGGGACGUCUACCCGUGGUGGACUAGGAAAGCUUUCUAUUCGAGGGAGUAACUCAGUUCGUGGUAUUACUAAUGUCGGUCUAUCUGCUGUUGCACAUGGGUGUCCUUCUCUUAGGGUCCUAUCAUUGUGGAAUGUUCCUUCUAUCGGAGAUGAAGGUCUCUUGGAGGUUGCAAGAGAAUGCCAUUCAUUAGAAAAGCUAGAUCUGAGCCACUGUCGUUCAAUCUCCAACAAGGGUCUUGUUGCAAUAGCAGAGAAUUGCCCUAGCUUGACUUCAUUGACUAUUGAAUCCUGUCCAAAUAUUGGAAACGAAGGCUUGCAAGCUGUUGGAAAAUACUGCACCAAACUACAGUCUCUUACAAUUAAGGACUGCCCGCUUGUCGGAGAUCAGGGAGUUGCUAGUCUUCUGUCAUCAGGUGCUUCAAUGUUAACAAAAGUGAAACUACAUGGUCUAAACAUUACCGAUUUCUCGCUUGCUGUCAUUGGUCACUACGGCAAGCUGAUUACCAGUCUUAAUCUUUGUUCACUUCGUAAUGUGAGUCAGAAGGGAUUUUGGGUCAUGGGUAAUGCUCAAGGCCUCCAGUCUUUGGUUUCUUUGACAAUCACCUUAUGCCAGGGAGCCACUGAUGUCGGUCUUGAAGCUGUGGGAAAGGGAUGCCCAAAUCUCAAAUAUAUGUGCAUUCGCAAGUGUUGCUUUGUUUCUGACGGUGGUCUUGUUGCUUUCGCUAAAGAGGCUGGAUCUCUCGAGAGUUUAAUCUUGGAGGAGUGCAACAGAAUUACCCAAGUAGGUAUCCUUAAUGCAGUUUCAAACUGCAGGAAGUUAAAGUCUCUUUCCCUAGUGAAGUGCAUGGGAAUCAAGGAUCUAGCUCUACAAACUUCCAUGCUGUCUCCAUGUGAAUCUCUUCGGUCCUUGUCUAUCCGAAGCUGUCCAGGAUUCGGGAGCAGUAGCUUAGCUAUGGUUGGUAAGCUCUGCCCCAAGCUGCAUCAAUUAGAUCUCAGUGGGCUUUGUGGAAUAACCGAUGCUGGUCUUCUCCCACUCUUGGAGAACUGUGAAGGACUUGUUAAGGUGAACCUUAGCGACUGCCUGAACUUGACAGACCAAGUGGUGCUUUCAUUGGCUAUGCGACAUGGCGAGACCCUUGAAUUGUUGAAUCUCGACGGAUGCAGGAAGGUUACCGAUGCAAGUUUAGUGGCAAUUGCAGAUUAUUGCCCAUUACUUAUUGAUCUUGAUGUUUCUAAGAGUGCAAUAACUGAUUCUGGUGUAGCUGCUUUAUCCCGUGGAGUGCAAGUGAAUUUGCAGGUCCUUUCCUUAUCAGGUUGCUCCAUGGUAUCGAACAAGAGUGUCCUUUCUCUUAAAAAGUUAGGAGAGAAUCUACUCGGCUUGAAUCUCCAGCAUUGCUCCGUUAGUUGCAGCUCAGUCGAGCUUCUUGUGGAGGCUUUGUGGAGGUGUGACAUCCUCUCCUAAACCCACAAAGGGCACAAGGAAAUGCAUUCGAAAUGGUCAAAACGAAUAAGCAGAAAGCUAAAUUGGUUCAUUCAGCCUGGCAAUUACAGAAGCAAACAUGAGUGUUCUUUUUUUAGCCCGUAUAUAUUCGUGGCUAUCUAAUACUUCAGUGUCUCGGUUGUUUUCCAGGACGCUAUGGCAUACAUCUUUUUCCCACCAUUUUUUGCAGGGCUUCGUCAAAUCGAAACCCUGUUUCAGCCAUUUUUGGAGACUUACCUCCAUCAUGCCAUGGUCUCCUGAGA